This 855-nucleotide long non-coding RNA is filed under the name Physcomitrium patens. RNAcentral describes it as "long non-coding RNA (PPAT_LNC014846)". The record is from RNAcentral. Lineage: Eukaryota; Viridiplantae; Streptophyta; Bryopsida; Funariales; Funariaceae.
AUUUUUGUCACUAUUAUGUAUCUUCUUGAGUUUAUUUGAUUGUCUCGUUUAUUUCCUUCAUUGGUGCAUUCUUUUUGCCAAUUUUCCCCUGUUUUUCUGGGUAUGAUUUUAAAAUGCACGCACACGUGUACUUAUUGUACAACCUGCACUGAACAAAGUUUGAAAAAUAUAUAUGAACAAAACAUAGAAUCAAGAUUAGUCUUCAAUUUUAUGCAAAAAGGUACUAUAAUAAUUUUUUGAAUGCAUUAGAAAAUAACUUUUCUUGUAAAAAUACAACUGUGUACAUGCUUUUUGAAGAUCAUUUAUGUAUAGGUCGAAAACAUUGCAAGUUUUAUUUUUAAAUUGCAUCAGGAUGAUUAUUUAUAUUUUAAGUAAUUUUGAAAAAUAUCAAAGACCACAUUCAUAUUUUAUAGACAAACAAAAUAUAACUUUGAGAAUUUAACUUUUAUGACCUCUCACUGAAAUUUCUUAGAGUUUUUCUUAUGUAUAAUUCUGUUAUUGAAAAUAUAUAUAUAUAUAUAUAUAUAUAUAUAUUAAAUUAGGGUUUUCUAAACAUCAAAUUAGCGUUUUUUACUACGAGAUGAUUAUUGAAAGUUUUAAACUACUUGCAUUAAUAGGAGGAAGCACAGUGGUUAUUUUGAACAGAGGAUUGAAAACAACCUAAAAUUAUUUUAGGUUGUAAGGGCAACAUCAUCUAUCUGAGCGUCAUAACUUAAUAUCAUGAAUUUCAAUUUUUUUUUAUAUAUUUUUCUACAAUCAUUACAUUUAAUGUUAAUGCAUCCAAUUUACCUGAUAUUUUUGAAGACCAAUCUCCUAGCCAAUAAUCAUGUAAUGAAUAAAUAAUCCAAUCAAUAC